This 956-nucleotide ribosomal RNA is filed under the name uncultured Bacteroidota bacterium. RNAcentral's name for it is "bacterial SSU rRNA". It matches the Rfam family "Bacterial small subunit ribosomal RNA", at positions 50 to 1005 of the family's 1533-position model. Lineage: Bacteria; Pseudomonadati; Bacteroidota. The record is from RNAcentral.
UAUACAUGCAAGUCGAGGGAGAUUGUUGGAUUCGUCUGACAUGGAACCGGCGCACGGGUGCGUAACACGUAUGCAACCUACCUUUAACUGGGGUAUAGCUCAGAGAAAUCUGAAUUAAUCCCCCAUAAGACUACGACAUGGCAUCAUGAUGUAGUUAAAGCUCCGGCGGUUAAGGAUGGGCAUGCGGUACAUUAGCUAGUUGGUGAGGUAAUGGCUCACCAAGGCUACGAUGUAUAGGGGGUCUGAGAGGAUGAUCCCCCACACUGGUACUGAGACACGGACCAGACUCCUACGGGAGGCAGCAGUAGGGAAUAUUGGUCAAUGGACGCAAGUCUGAACCAGCCAUGCCGCGUGAAGGAUGAAGGCCCUCUGGGUCGUAAACUUCUUUUAUUAGGGAAGAAAACAUGGGAUGCGUCCCAAACUGACGGUACUUAAUGAAUAAGGAUCGGCUAACUUCGUGCCAGCAGCCGCGGUAAGACGAAGGAUCCAAGCGUUGUCCGGAUUUACUGGGUUUAAAGGGUGCGUAGGCGGAAAAUUAAGUCAGUGGUGAAAGCCCGCAGCUCAACUGUGGAACUGCCAUUGAAACUGAUUUUCUUGAAUAUAGCUGAGGCAGAUGGAAUAUAACAUGUAGCGGUGAAAUGCUUAGAUAUGUUAUAGAACACCGAUUGCGAAGGCAGUCUGCUAAACUAUUAUUGACGCUGAGGCACGAAAGCGUGGGGAGCGAACAGGAUUAGAUACCCUGGUAGUCCACGCCCUAAACGUUGAUUACUCGCUGUUGGCGAUAUACUGUCAGUGGCUAAGCGAAAGCGUUAAGUAAUCCACCUGGGAAGUACGACCGCAAGGUUGAAACUCAAAGGAAUUGACGGGGGCCCGCACAAGCGGAGGAGCAUGUGGUUUAAUUCGAUGAUACGCGAGAAACCUUACCUGGGCUUAAAUGUCAGGUGACCGCUGCCGAA